AUUGAACGCUGGCGGCAUGCCUUACACAUGCAAGUCGAACGGCAGCACGGGUGCUUGCACCUGGUGGCGAGUGGCGAACGGGUGAGUAAUACAUCGGAACAUGUCCUGUAGUGGGGGAUAGCCCGGCGAAAGCCGGAUUAAUACCGCAUGCGAUCUACGGAUGAAAGCGGGGGACCUUCGGGCCUCGCGCUAUAGGGUUGGCCGAUGGCUGAUUAGCUAGUUGGUGGGGUAAAGGCCUACCAAGGCGACGAUCAGUAGCUGGUCUGAGAGGACGACCAGCCACACUGGGACUGAGACACGGCCCAGACUCCUACGGGAGGCAGCAGUGGGGAAUUUUGGACAAUGGGCGAAAGCCUGAUCCAGCAAUGCCGCGUGUGUGGAGAAGGCCUUCGGGUUGUAAAGCACUUUUGUCCGGAAAGAAAUCCUUGGCCCUAAUACGGUCGGGGGAUGACGGUACCGGAAGAAUAAGCACCGGCUAACUACGUG
This 486-nucleotide ribosomal RNA is filed under the name uncultured bacterium. RNAcentral describes it as "partial 16S ribosomal RNA". It matches the Rfam family "Bacterial small subunit ribosomal RNA", at positions 30 to 507 of the family's 1533-position model. The record is from RNAcentral.